GAUGAACGCUGGCGGCGUGCCUAAUACAUGCAAGUCGAGCGAACGGACGAGAAGCUUGCUUCUCUGAUGUUAGCGGCGGACGGGUGAGUAACACGUGGAUAACCUACCUAUAAGACUGGGAUAACUUCGGGAAACCGUAGCUAAUACCGGAUAAUAUUUUGAACCGCGUGGUUCAAAAGUGAAAGACGGUCUUGCUGUCAUUUAUAGAUGGAUCCGCGCUGCAUUAGCUAGUUGGUAAGGUAACGGCUUACCAAGGCAACGAUGCAUAGCCGACCUGAGAGGGUGAUCGGCCACACUGGAACUGAGACACGGUCCAGACUCCUACGGGAGGCAGCAGUAGGGAAUCUUCCGCAAUGGGCGAAAGCCUGACGGAGCAACGCCGCGUGAGUGAUGAAGGUCUUCGGAUCGUAAAACUCUGUUAUUAGGGAAGAACAUAUGUGUAAGUAACUGUGCACAUCUUGACGGUACCUAAUCAGAAAGCCACGGCUAACUACGUG
RNAcentral lists this ribosomal RNA (497 nucleotides) under uncultured bacterium. Its description in RNAcentral is "partial 16S ribosomal RNA". It matches the Rfam family "Bacterial small subunit ribosomal RNA", at positions 28 to 507 of the family's 1533-position model. The record is from RNAcentral.